Molecule: ribosomal RNA, 587 nt
Filed under: uncultured bacterium
Lineage: Bacteria
Description: bacterial SSU rRNA
Rfam family: Bacterial small subunit ribosomal RNA
Source: RNAcentral
CCUACGGGAGGCAGCAGUAGGGAAUCUUCCGCAAUGGACGAAAGUCUGACGGAGCAACGCCGCGUGAACGAUGAAGGCCUUCGGGUCGUAAAGUUCUGUUGUUAGGGAAGAACAAGUGCUAGUUAAAUAAGCUGGCACCUUGACGGUACCUAACCAGAAAGCCACGGCUAACUACGUGCCAGCAGCCGCGGUAAUACGUAGGUGGCAAGCGUUGUCCGGAAUUAUUGGGCGUAAAGCGCGCGCAGGCGGUUUCUUAAGUCUGAUGUGAAAGCCCCCGGNUCAACCGGGGAGGGUCAUUGGAAACUGGGAAACUUGAGUGCAGAAGAGGAAAGUGGAAUUCCAAGUGUAGCGGUGAAAUGCGUAGAGAUUUGGAGGAACACCAGUGGCGAAGGCGACUUUCUGGUCUGUAACUGACGCUGAGGCGCGAAAGCGUGGGGAGCAAACAGGAUUAGAUACCCUGGUAGUCCACGCUGUAAACGAUGAGUGCUAAGUGUUAGAGGGUUUCCGCCCUUUAGUGCUGAAGUUAACGCAUUAAGCACUCCGCCUGGGGAUACGGUCGCAAGACUGAAACUCAAAAGGAUUGACGG